GAUGAACGCUGGCGGCGUGCCUAAUACAUGCAAGUCGAACGAGGUCUUCGGACCGAGUGGCGAACGGGUGAGUAACACGUUGGUACCUACCCCGAAGUGGGGAAUAACUGGCCGAAAGGUCGGCUAAUACCGCAUAAUACCGCAAGGUUAAAGCAGUAAUGCGCUUCGGGAGGGGCCUGCGUCCCAUUAGCUAGUUGGUGAGGUAAUUGCUCACCAAGGCAACGAUGGGUAGCUGGANCGAGAGGUUGACCAGCCACACUGGGACUGAGAUACGGCCCAGACUCCUACGGGAGGCAGCAGUAAGGAAUCUUCCACAAUGGACGAAAGUCUGAUGGAGCAACGCCGCGUGCAGGAUGACGGCCUU
This 364-nucleotide ribosomal RNA is filed under the name uncultured bacterium. Its description in RNAcentral is "bacterial SSU rRNA". It matches the Rfam family "Bacterial small subunit ribosomal RNA", at positions 28 to 418 of the family's 1533-position model. The record is from RNAcentral.